GCAAUUUUAUUGAUGCGAAAAAUAUUUUUGUUAUUAAGAAAAAUUUAAUUUCUCAACUAAAUUGUUUGGUUUUGUUGCCUAAAAUUUCUUUCUUUUUGGCUCCAAAAGCAGACGCGGUAAUUUCUCCCUCCUAUUUCCCAAAAUUUCCCAAAUACACCUUAACCCAGCUACUUGGGACUCCAAGGAUUCUCAAAUACCCUAGUUUGCUACAGCUGUCUUUCUCUCCUAAUACACCUUAACCCAGCUACUUGGGACUCCUCUCCACGCCUUCGAUGCCUUAACGGCGGGGAUGUACCGGAAGUUUCGCGCGCCGACCACGGAAUGGACCAGAUUUUUCCAGAGCGUCAAACCCUAACUGUCUGUCUUAAUUUUACCAAAAACUGUAGUCAUCUGAUAGUGCAAUCCCUUUUUCUAUUCUUCUGAUUUGUAUUUUUCCGGCUAGAUUUUGCGGCAUUUAACAGAUUUGAGAGUACAACUAUACAAUCGGAGGUAUCUAUCUCCGUAAUCUGGAAUUGUUCGUUAUAAUUUUUUGUUUAUUAUUUUUGACUGAGAAUACCCAGGCUCAUCUAAUUUUUUUUACUUCUUUCAGACAUUUCAUUUUCGAAUUUUUGAGAUUCUUCAAGGUAUGUGUCUUAUUUUCUUUCGAAAUUUUUUUCAUUUUAUUUUUCUGGAAAUGAGAUUUUUAUUUUUGAUGUUACUAUUUAAAUCUGAAAAUAGGUAUAAUCUAGUUAUUUGUUCAUUUUGAGAAAGGUUGAAUUUAACAGCCUUUUACUUCUCCAGCUACUUAUAAAAAUUAGCUUGACUGUAUGUUGAAGGUGUUUGAAUGUGUGUUGAAGGCGAGAUAUUUUCCUUUUCUCUAGAAUUUAAAGGUGCUAUUUUUCAUUUGACUUACUCUCCCCAGAGGCGGAUGUAGUGUACUGGGUUCAACUGAACCCAUAAUUUUCGACGUGGAUUAAAAUUUGUAUGUAAAAAUUCAUUAAAAUUGCAAAAAUAGUAUAUAUGAACCCAUAACUUAAAAAAUAUAAUGGGUUCAAUCUUAAAAACCUUAAAAAUUUAACCCAUAGAAUUUAAAUCCCGGAUCCGCUUCUGACUCUCCCCGUCCAUUCAUGUGGUCGUGUUCAAGAAUAGCAAUAUUAUUUCAUCUAGCUUGGGUAGCCUAAUUUUGUAUCUCGUAUCUGUUGCUUCCAGUAGCCUUCUCAAUUAGUAAGAGUUUAAAGUAUUGGCUAUUAGAAACUCAACCUCUGUUCAUAGUAAUGGUUCCUCUAGAUGUGAGUGUAUAAAGUAAAUGUAAAAGCAUUAUACUGUUGCAUCAGUUUUCAAAUACAUGAUCCACUAAAAUGAUUGCACAACUUUUACCUAUUUCUUAGAUUAAUGGUAAGUGCAAGUCCAAUAAUCAAACUGUAACUUCUGUUGCAAAUUUAUGUAUAUUUGCUUUUACAUUACGUAAUGAUAUCUUUCAGUGGUGAAGCCAUAGCUAAGGCUAGGAUUUCACUUGAGGUAUGUGUUUAAUGCGUUGGACUUACUUAUUUUACAUUCUGUUUUGAGUAUCAAGAAGUUCGUAUGCAUUGUUUCAGAUUUGUGAGGUAGAAUCAUGAAAAAAUUUGAAGCCCAUAACUUCGUCACUGAUUUUUGCUUUUCUGCUACAAAUUGCUAACAAAUAAAAUCAUAUUCUCUUUAUUGGUUAGUAAUAAACGAGGGGAUGCCUAGAUGGGAUGGGUUUAAUGUAAGCAAAUCCGUCGGUAAAUUGAAGGUGGACAUGAUGAAGAUAAAGAAACUCACUCAUAUGAAAUAGACCCUGCUCAGGUAGUAAUUUAAUGCUUUGCAACAACUAGAUUGCUUGAUCUCUUUUUACACUCUUUUGGGUUGAGAUAACAGUCUGGUGUCUGAUAUUGCGUUAAAAUAAGUUGCAGGACUUCCAUUAUCAAUUUUGGUUCUUAAUUGGUCUAUUACUGUCUGCUACAUAGAAAAGACAAUACGAAGAAUACAUAGGUUAAUGAAGUUGAAAAUGUAUGAAACUGGUAGAGUAUAUUUGGUCUCCUCAAUUAUAGGUUGCGCUCGGGUAUUUCAAACCAUGUCUCUGUUCUGUUGAUUUUUCGGCUUUGGUCCUCAAGCAAUUUCUUUCCAUGUUUACUGUUGGCCCAUUACUGACGUCUACAUAAAAGACUGAAGACGUAGAAUACAUAGGUUAAUGAUGUAGAAUACAUACAUCUUACUAAUUAAUAUAUAUUUUUUGAUUAACGUUUCAUUUUUUUUCUGAAUCGUGAUAUCAAAAAGUAUGACUAAAAUUAUGACUCUUGUUUCACAGGUACAUGAAUGUGGAAAUUCUUCAGGGAUAAAUUUAUUAGACAAAGUGACUACACUACAAUUAUUCUUGUAGUCCGAUUAGACUUUCAUUUCGGAUAGAUUUUAUUUAAUUUAUGUAUUUUAAUUUAUGGAGUUUGUAAUGAGAAUAUCUCAAAUAUAGUAUUGUUAUGAUAAAUAUCAUAUUAUGGUGGAUGUCUACUCUUCCUCCAUGAUCUUCAUGUCAAAUGCUUAAUGACAUAUUCAAUGACAUAUUUUCUAUAUUCAAUGAUAUAUUCCAUGACAUAUUUUCUUCACUUUUCAUGCCUAUAUAAAGGCCUUGUAAUAGAUA
Molecule: long non-coding RNA, 2632 nt
Filed under: Nicotiana tabacum (common tobacco)
Lineage: Eukaryota; Viridiplantae; Streptophyta; Magnoliopsida; Solanales; Solanaceae
Description: long non-coding RNA (NTAB_LNC006655)
Source: RNAcentral